This 433-nucleotide ribosomal RNA is filed under the name uncultured bacterium. RNAcentral describes it as "partial 16S ribosomal RNA". It matches the Rfam family "Bacterial small subunit ribosomal RNA", at positions 29 to 507 of the family's 1533-position model. The record is from RNAcentral.
AACGAACGCUGGCGGCAUGCCUAACACAUGCAAGUCGAACGAGACCUUCGGGUCUAGUGGCGCACGGGUGCGUAACGCGUGGGAACCUGCCCCUAGGUUCGGAAUAACUCCCCGAAAGGGGUGCUAAUACCGGAUAAUGUCUUCGGACCAAAGAUUUAUCGCCUUUGGAUGGGCCCGCGUUGGAUUAGCUAGUUGGUAGGGUAAAAGCCUACCAAGGCGACGAUCCAUAGCUGGUCUGAGAGGAUGAUCAGCCACACUGGGACUGAGACACGGCCCAGACUCCUACGGGAGGCAGCAGUGGGGAAUAUUGGACAAUGGGCGAAAGCCUGAUCCAGCAAUGCCGCGUGAGUGAUGAAGGCCUUAGGGUUGUAAAGCUCUUUUACCCGGGAUGAUAAUGACAGUACCGGGAGAAUAAGCUCCGGCUAACUCUGUG